Molecule: transfer RNA, 71 nt
Filed under: Actinomycetes bacterium
Lineage: Bacteria; Bacillati; Actinomycetota; Actinomycetes
Also listed under: 1 other name
Description: tRNA-Cys
Rfam family: tRNA
About the family: Transfer RNA (tRNA) molecules are approximately 80 nucleotides in length.
Source: RNAcentral
GGCGACGUGGCCGAGUGGCUAGGCAAGGGUCUGCAAAACCCUCGACCCGGGUUCGAUUCCCGGCGUCGCCU